AGGGUUUGAUCAUGGCUCAGAACGUACGCUGGCGGCACGCCUAACACAUGCAAGUCGAACGAAGUAGCAAUACUUAGUGGCAGACGGGUGAGUAACAUGUAGGUAUCUUCCCUUUGGCCUGGAAUAACACGAGGAAACUUGUGCUAAUACUGGAUAAGUCUUUACGGAGAAAGCUUUAUGCACCAUUGGAUGAGCCUGCACUUGAUUAGUUUGUUGGUGGGGUAAUGGCCUACCAAGACUUUGAUCAAUAGCUGAUUUGAGAGGAUGAUCAGCCACAUUGGGACUGAGACACGGCCCAAACUCCUACGGGAGGCAGCAGUGGGGAAUCUUGCACAAUGGAGGAAACUCUGAUGCAGCGAUGCCGCGUGAGUGAAGAAGGCCCUUGGGUUGUAAAGCUCUUUCGUCGGGGAAGAAAAUGACUGUACCCGAAUAAGAAGGUCCGGCUAACUUCGUGCCAGCAGCCGCGGUAAUACGAAGGGACCUAGCGUAGUUCGGAAUUACUGGGCUUAAAGAGUUCGUAGGUGGUUGAAAAAGUUGGUGGUGAAAUCCCAGAGCUUAACUCUGGAACUGCCAUCAAAACUUUUCAGCUAGAGUUUGAUAGAGGAAAGCAGAAUUUCUAGUGUAGAGGUGAAAUUCGUAGAUAUUAGAAAGAAUACCAAUUGCGAAGGCAGCUUUCUGGAUCAUUACUGACACUGAGGAACGAAAGCAUGGGUAGCGAAGAGGAUUAGAUACCCUCGUAGUCCAUGCCGUAAACGAUGUGUGUUAGACGUUGGAAAUUUAUUUUCAGUGUCGCAGCGAAAGCGAUAAACACACCGCCUGGGGAGUACGACCGCAAGGUUAAAACUCAAUGAAUUGACGGGGACCCGCACAAGUAGUGGAGCAUGUGGUUUAAUUCGAAGAUACGCGCAGAACCUUACCAACACUUGACAUGUUCGUCGCGACUUUAAGAGAUUAAAGUUUUCGGUUCGGCCGGACGAAACACAGGUGCUGCAUGGCUGUCGUCAGCUCGUGUCGUGAGAUGUUGGGUUAAGUCCCGCAACGAGCGCAACCCUCACUUUUAGUUGCCAUCAUUUAGUUGGGCACUCUGAAAGAACUGCCAGUGAUAAGCUGGAGGAAGGUGGGGAUGACGUCAAGUCCUCAUGGCCCUUACGUGUUGGGCUACACACGUGCUACAAUGGUAUUUACAACAGGAAGCAAGACGGCGACGUUAAGCAAAUCCUUAAAAAAUACCUCAGUUCGGAUUGCACUCUGCAACUCGAGUGCAUGAAGCUGGAAUUACUAGUAAUCGUGGAUCAGCGUGCCACGGUGAAUGCGUUCCCGGGUCUUGUACACACCGCCCGUCACACCAUGGGAGUUGGUUCUACCUUAAGGCAAGGUUUAAUACCCUUGACCACGGUAUAGUCAGCGACUGGGGUGAAGUCGUAACAAGGUAGCCGUA
Molecule: ribosomal RNA, 1438 nt
Filed under: uncultured bacterium
Lineage: Bacteria
Description: bacterial SSU rRNA
Rfam family: Bacterial small subunit ribosomal RNA
Source: RNAcentral